Molecule: ribosomal RNA, 484 nt
Filed under: uncultured Sphingobacteriales bacterium
Lineage: Bacteria; Pseudomonadati; Bacteroidota; Sphingobacteriia; Sphingobacteriales
Description: bacterial SSU rRNA
Rfam family: Bacterial small subunit ribosomal RNA
Source: RNAcentral
AACUUCAAGGAAUUGACGGGGGCCCGCACAAGCGGAGGAGCAUGUGGUUUAAUUCGAUGAUACGCGAGGAACCUUACCUGGGCUCGAACGUAAGAUGACUGUAGGUGAAAGCUUACAUCUCUUCGGAGCAUUUUACGAGGUGCUGCAUGGUUGUCGUCAGCUCGUGCCGUGAGGUGUCGGGUUAAGUCCCAUAACGAGCGCAACCCCUACCUUUAGUUGCCAUCAGGUAAUGCUGGGGACUCUAAAGGAACUGCCUACGCAAGUAGUGAGGAAGGCGGGGAUGACGUCAAAUCAGCACGGCCCUUACGUCCAGGGCUACACACGUGUUACAAUGGCCAGUACAGAGGGCAGCCACCCCGCGAGGGGGCGCUAAUCCUAAAAGCUGGUCCCAGUUCGGAUCGGAGUCUGCAACCCGACUCCGUGAAGCUGGAUUCGCUAGUAAUCGCGCAUCAGCCACGGCGCGGUGAAUACGUUCCCGGGCCUU